This 194-nucleotide ribosomal RNA is filed under the name uncultured bacterium. RNAcentral describes it as "partial 16S ribosomal RNA". It matches the Rfam family "Bacterial small subunit ribosomal RNA", at positions 1297 to 1500 of the family's 1533-position model. The record is from RNAcentral.
ACUGCAGGCUGCAACUCGCCUGCACGAAGCCGGAGUUGCUAGUAAUCGCGGAUCAGAAUGCCGCGGUGAAUGCGUUCCCGGGUCUUGUACACACCGCCCGUCACACCAUGGAAGUUGGGGGUGCCCAAAGCCGGCAGGGAAAUAUGCUGUCUAAGGCAAAACCAAUGACUGGGGUGAAGUCGUAACAAGGUAGC